UUACGGCUCAGUAACACGUAGCUAAUCUUACCUUAGGUCUGUAAUACCCUCGCGAAAGUGAGGAUAAUGACAGGCAUGUUAUGGAUGCUGGAAUGCACUAUAGCUGAAAGGCAACGCCUAAGGACGAGGCUGCGGCUGAUUAGGUAGUUGUUAGUGUAAAAGACCAACAAGCCGAUGAUCAGUAAGGGCUCUUAACGGAGGGGCCCUGAGAGGGACUCUGAGACACUAGUCCCAGCUCUACGGAGUGCAGCAGGUGCGAAAAUUUUACAAUGCUCGAAAGAGUGAUAAAGGAACCCGGAGUGCUUUUCUAAUUUUUACGAAAAGCUUUUGUGUCGUGCAAAAAGCAACACGAAUAAGGACUGGGCAAGACCGGUGCCAGCCGCCGCGGUAAUCCCGGCGGUCCGAGUGGGAGCCACAUUUAUUAGGUCUAAAACAUUCGUAGCUCGCUUAGCAAGUUUGAUGUGAAAUUGUUGCGCUCAACGCAACAGCGUGCAUUAAAAACUAUUAAGCUAGAGACCGGGAGAUGUAAGAAGUACAGCUGGGGUAGCGGUAAGAUGUUUUAAUCCCGGCUGGACUAACAAUAGCGAAGGCAUCUUACAAGAACGGAUCUGACAGUGAGGGAUGAAGGCCAGGGGCGCAAAAGGGAUUAGAUACCCCUGUAGUCCUGGCUGUAAACGCUGCACACUAAACAUUGUUGCCUCCUCGAGAGGCAGCAGUGCUGAAGUGAAGACGGAAGUGUGCUACCUGGGAAGUAUAGUCGCAAGGCCGAAACUUAAAGGAAUUGGCGGGGGAGCAC
RNAcentral lists this ribosomal RNA (796 nucleotides) under uncultured euryarchaeote. RNAcentral describes it as "bacterial SSU rRNA". It matches the Rfam family "Archaeal small subunit ribosomal RNA", at positions 83 to 879 of the family's 1478-position model. Lineage: Archaea; Methanobacteriati; Methanobacteriota. The record is from RNAcentral.